UUCUUUGUUUCAGCGCACCUGUCUGGGAAUUCUGAACUACUUCAGAUCUGUUGAGCGAACACUGACAAUCAACACUUCAGGCCUUACCUUGGUUGGAGGCAGUCUGGUCCCGACCAUAGAAGAUAGUUCUUGGGUAAAUACAGCCGAGGGAGGUCUGGGCACCUCGCAAGGCCUAGGAGCUCACCACUAUGUCCAUGGGACAGCUGCUGAGCACAAGGUCCACAGUGUCCGAUUCAUGGAGUUCUCGGAAGUGGAGAACCAGGACGACUACUACAGCAUGGAGGCUGCGUCCGUCUACACACAGGACCCGCACGGGGUACAUAUCAUGUACGAUGAAGCCUUGAGCGAUCUGAAGGAGCUCGAGGAAGAGCUGCUGCUUGUGGCCAGCCAUUACAUCGAGAAAGAAAAAGGUCACGAAGAGGGCAGCGAGUCAAAUACUGGCCAGGACUGGGGACGGGCCCAUGCAAGUGUGGACAGAUUUGCUGUGCUGUAUGACAUGUGGACUUGGGAAGCAGCCCUUCUAGAAAACAAGCGCCAGCUUCUUGACAGUUACUUCGAAGCCUACCAGCAUGUGUUGGACCCUGAGGAGAGGUUUGCCUUAGCACAAGUGAUCACUGACCUAAUGCACAGACGCCCGAGGUUUGAUCUCAGCCGCCCUUAUUUCCUUAAGGCCUACCGAGAUGAGGGCACCUGCCUGAGGCUUCACUUGGAGCUAGUGAGGGGCAUCCUCAAUCAGCACGUAAGUACUUUUGGGUUUUAAAAUAUCACAUAUGGGAAGAUGAUGGAAAACCCAGGCCAGAACCCAAAAGUGUUUUCCUUUCAUCGCGUGUUCAGAAUCCAGGUUUUCUAAGGCAGCGCGUGCGGCGUGUUUAUUUGAAAGCUCAUUUGCAUUGUUGAAUUCCAAGCAUA
This 909-nucleotide long non-coding RNA is filed under the name Neogale vison (American mink). RNAcentral describes it as "Neovison vison (American mink) lncRNA (ENSNVIG00000004639.1)". The record is from RNAcentral. Lineage: Eukaryota; Metazoa; Chordata; Mammalia; Carnivora; Mustelidae.